Molecule: transfer RNA, 73 nt
Filed under: Micromonas pusilla CCMP1545
Lineage: Eukaryota; Viridiplantae; Chlorophyta; Mamiellophyceae; Mamiellales; Mamiellaceae
Description: tRNA-Thr
Rfam family: tRNA
About the family: Transfer RNA (tRNA) molecules are approximately 80 nucleotides in length. Their secondary structure includes four short double-helical elements and three loops (D, anti-codon, and T loops).
Source: RNAcentral
GCCCUCGUAGCUCAGCUGGUAGAGCGUUCCCAUGGUAAGGGAAAGGUCCCCGGUUCAACUCCGAGCGUGGGCA